RNAcentral lists this long non-coding RNA (320 nucleotides) under Phoenix dactylifera (date palm). RNAcentral describes it as "long non-coding RNA (PDAC_LNC007108)". Lineage: Eukaryota; Viridiplantae; Streptophyta; Magnoliopsida; Arecales; Arecaceae. The record is from RNAcentral.
AGAAGCCAUACGCCUUAAUUGUUGCAUAAACUGAGUGCCUGCAGAAGCCAUACGCUUUGAUGGUUGAGUAAACUGAACGUCUGCGGGAGCCAUACGCUUUGAUUAUUGAGUAAACUGAACGUCUGCAGGAGCCAUACGCUUUGAUUGUUGACGAAGGCAAGGCGUGGUUUUUCGGUCACGCUGCGGGGAAAUGUGACCAUAGCGCGUGAGUCGGACGUCUUUGGGUCGGUAGGGCUGCUCGGGCGCUUCCAGGUCGGAGGGUCUGCUCGGGCGCCUCCAGGUCGGAGGGUCUGCUCGGGCGCUCAUGCAGUCGUGACGAC